RNAcentral lists this ribosomal RNA (2629 nucleotides) under Triticum aestivum (bread wheat). Its description in RNAcentral is "partial small subunit ribosomal RNA". The record is from RNAcentral. Lineage: Eukaryota; Viridiplantae; Streptophyta; Magnoliopsida; Poales; Poaceae.
CCAAUCCCGCGGUCCUCCGCUCCCGACAUAGAACUCCGUCGCUCACCAUUCUUGCUCGCCCGCUCGCCGUCAUGGCUCUCCGAUGCCGCCCCCCACCGCCUUCCUCCCUCCCCCGCCCCACGCCGCCUUCCUCCCCCGAACCACGCUGCGAUGCUGCCGGCUCGUCCCCCUCCUCGUUCCCCACCGUCUCAAGCUUCAAUUUUUGCCACAUCGCCGGUGGUUGAUCUGCCGGCAGAAUUGCGGGCGGCGGCCUGGAGCGGCAGUACGCAAGCUCUGACUCCAUACCGAGCCAGCCGGCACACCCGCCAAGGAGCUUCGCCAGCCGCUGCCCUAGCGCCCGCGGCCGUCAAUGCGUGGUCGGGCGCCGCGUCGAUGUUGCCGCUGCUCGGCGCCGCCGUCGCCGACUCGUGGCUCGGCCGGUACCGCACCAUCGUCGCCUCCUUCGUUAUCUACAUCACGUGGCACAAAGGCGAGCUACCUUGGCGUGCAGAAGAGGCCCCCCUCCCUUGCCUUGUGCCCGGCGACCAACAACUGCGUGUCGACGUCCGAGAGGAUAAGCAAUUCCAAUCACUACGCUCCCCCAUGGUAACCAUCUGUGUUCAGUUCUUUCACCAUUGAUCAUGAACCACAUUAUAUGAUAAAUUCAGUGAGUAAGAAAUUGCAGAGUCCCAAAUAUGACAAAAAUGACAUCUGCAUUCUCUAAAAACAAUUUAGUUGCAAUACAAUGUCAAUUACCUGAAGCAGCACAUUCGGAUUUAGUUGCAAUACAAUGUCAAUAGUUGCAAUACAAGGUCAGUUAGUUGCUUCAUUUGUUAUUAUUAUUAUUACCACUGAUGUGUUUCUAGAAGAAACAAUUAUUACUCCUAAUUCAUGCUCACACAACCACUUCAUGCUCACACAAUCAUACAAGUUGAACCACAUAGUUAUUGACACAGAGAUUGCCAUGUUGCUAAUAAAAAAAUUGCAUCAUCCUUUCCUUUCAUAUACAGUAAUCAAAUCUGUUGGAGUUUACACACAAUAUGUGCUCGUAUCCUAUGCUCUUCCUGGUCAUCAACAAUGGAAAUGAUUGUGUGAAAUUUAACACAUUACUGGCCUGCAAACUGCUUCCAUUAUCCUGCUGAACACAACCUUUGCAGGGACGCACGGAAUUGCUCCUUUCCCUUUCUCUGCUUCUUUUCCUUUCUUUGCUUGGAGGGCGCUGCUGCUCUUCUUUCUCUUUCUCUGCUUCGAAGGUGGUGGUGGUGCUGCUACUGCUUGUAGGGUACUGCUGCUUGGAGGAUGUUGCUGGUCUUCUUUCCCUUUCUUUGCUUGGAGGGCGCUGCUGCUCUUCUUUCUCUUUCUCUGCUUCGAAGGUGGUGGUGGUGCUGCUACUGCUUGUAGAGUACUGCUGCUUGGAGGAUGUUGCUGGUCUUCUUUCCCUUUCUCUGCUUGGAGGGUGCUGCUGCUCCUCUUUCUCUUUCUCUGCUUCAAAUGUAGAAAUGUCAGUUCAGUGUGUAAUAUGAAUCUUUUUUGCCUUUAUAAAUUGCAGAAGAAGAAAGGUAAAUUUCAGCAUUCUAGCUUUCUUGCUGGGGGAGCUACAUCUGCUGCUAGGAAACUGGUUGCUCAAAAUGGGACUCUGAAGGCUAUUUGGCCUCACAGUGGCCACUAUCGCCCCACAGAGGAGAACUUCCAGGAGUUUAAAAGCUUCCUCAAUGACAACUUGGUUGAUCUCACUGAUGCACCUGAAGAAACUGGCUCUCUUCAGACAACUCAAGUCAUUCAAACAACAUCUACAGAGACAGAAAAACGUGAGGAACCAGUGGUGGCGCGCGAGAAGAUCCUUCAGAGGAGAUGGUGGUAGCAGCUGCACCCCUGUGGUAGCAUCAGCAUCUACAGAAGAACCAGUGGUAGCAUCAACACCAACAUCAACAUCUACAGAUCGUUCAGAGGAUCAACAUCUAUAGAAGAACCUGUGGUAGCAGCUGCACCCCUGUGGCCACGAACCUUGCCGUGGAGAUGCAGGGACACCUUCCCACGCUACAGCAAGGAGGAGAGGAAGAUGGAGCCGCGGCGGAAGAUGGAGCUGCGGCGCCUGAGCCUGGCAGCGGCGGAAGAUGGAAUCGCGGCGCCUGAGCCUGGCAGCGGCGGAAGAUGGAGCCACGGCGCCUGAGCCUGGCAGCGGCGGAAGAUGGAGCCACGGCGCCUGAGCCUGGCAGAGGAAGAAGAUGGAGCCGCGGCGCCUGAUCCUGGCAGCGGCGGAGACGGAGCUCGAUGUGCUGGAGUCACCGGCGCUAUCUUGCUGCCGGAGACGGAGCUCGAGGUACUCGGAGGUGGGGAGCUCGAGGUGCUGGGUGCGGGAGCUCGAGGAGCUGACGCCGGCGACGGGGUCCUAGUGCUAGGGAUGGAGCUCGAGGUUCUGGCCGGCGGGAGAUCGAGGUUCUGGCCGGCGGACGGAGGUUCCGCGCGGUGGAUCGCGACGAGCGGACGGAGAACUGGGUACUGGAUUGUAAUGAUUUCAAAUUUCGGAAGGGCCUUAUUGUAAAAUUGAUUUGUUCACGAUUCCGCCUCCCCUGGAGUCAUCUAUUACCGAACGGAGGGAGUACUAUAUAAGUAUAUAAAAUUAUCAAAUGUAGGAUUCCUGCCAUCCGUG